Molecule: ribosomal RNA, 479 nt
Filed under: uncultured bacterium
Lineage: Bacteria
Description: partial 16S ribosomal RNA
Rfam family: Bacterial small subunit ribosomal RNA
Source: RNAcentral
GACGAACGCUGGCGGCGCGCCUCAUACAUGCAAGUCGAGCGUGAAGCGGGACUUCGGUCCCGUGGAAAGCGGCGAACGGGUGCGUAACACGUGAGCAACCUGCCCCGAAGACUGGGAUAACCCGAGGAAACUCGGGCUAAUACCGGAUGUCCUCCUCCGACCGCAUGAUUGGAAGAGGAAAUGUUCAGGCGCUUCGGGAUGGGCUCGCGGUCUAUCAGCUUGUUGGUGGGGUAACGGCCUACCAAGGCGACGACGGAUAGCUGGUCUGAGAGGACGCUCAGCCACACUGGGACUGAGACACGGCCCAGACUCCUACGGGAGGCAGCAGUAGGGAAUCUUGCGCAAUGGGGGAAACCCUGACGCAGCGACGCCGCGUGCGGGAUGAAGGCCUUCGGGUUGUAAACCGCUUUCAGCAGGGACGAAAUCGACGGUACCUGCAGAAGAAGGCCCGGCCAACUACGUGCCAGCCGCCGCCGUAA